AACACAUGCAAGUCGAACGGUAACAUUUCUAGCUUGCUAGAAGAUGACGAGUGGCGGACGGGUGAGUAAUGCUUAGGGAUCUGCCCUUGGGAAGGGGAUAACCAUUGGAAACGAUGGCUAAUACCGUAUAACGUCUACGGACCAAAGGGGGCUUCGGCUCUCGCCUGAGGAUGAACCUAAGUGAGAUUAGCUAGAUGGUGAGGUAAAGGCUCACCAUGGCGACGAUCUCUAGCUGUUCUGAGAGGAAGAUCAGCCACACUGGGACUGAGACACGGCCCAGACUCCUACGGGAGGCAGCAGUGGGGAAUAUUGCACAAUGGGGGGAACCCUGAUGCAGCCAUGCCGCGUGUGUGAAGAAGGCCUUAGGGUUGUAAAGCACUUUCAGAUGUGAGGAAAGGUUGGUAGUUAAUACCUGCCAGCUGUGAUGUUAGCAUCAGAAGAAGCACCGGCUAACUCCGUGCCAGCAGCCGCGGUAAUACGGAGGGUGCGAGCGUUAAUCGGAAUUACUGGGCGUAAAGCGCACGCAGGCGGUUUGUUAAGCUAGAUGUGAAAGCCCCGGGCUCAACCUGGGAUGGUCAUUUAGAACUGGCAAACUAGAGUUUUGGAGAGGGGAGUGGAAUUCCAGGUGUAGCGGUGAAAUGCGUAGAUAUCUGGAGGAACAUCAGUGGCGAAGGCGGCUCUCUGGCCAAAAACUGACGCUCAUGUGCGAAAGUGUGGGUAGCGAACAGGAUUAGAUACCCUGGUAGUCCACACCGUAAACGCUGUCUACUAGCUGUGUGCUUAUUCAUUUAGGUGCGUAGCGAAGCUAACGCGCUAAGUAGACCGCCUGGGGAGUACGGCCGCAAGGUAAAACUCAAUGAAUUGACGGGGGCCGCACAAGCGGUGGAGCAUGUGCUUAUCGAUGCACGCGAGACCUACAGACUGACAUCAGAGACUUCUAGAGAAUAGAUGUGCUCGGGACCUCUGAAACAGGUGCUGCAU
RNAcentral lists this ribosomal RNA (981 nucleotides) under uncultured bacterium. RNAcentral's name for it is "bacterial SSU rRNA". It matches the Rfam family "Bacterial small subunit ribosomal RNA", at positions 50 to 1046 of the family's 1533-position model. The record is from RNAcentral.